UUCCGGUUGAUCCUGCCGGACCCCACUGCUAUCGGGAUAGGACUAAGACAUGCUAGUCACUCCAGCCAUAAGAGGCGCACAGCUCAGUAACACGUGGCUAACCUGCCCUUGGGAUAGGGACAACCCCGGGAAACUGGGGCUAAUCCCCAAUAGGUGAAGUGCUCUGGAAUGAGCCUUCGCCCAAAGGACUUGCCGCCCGAGGAUGGGGCCGCGACCGAUCAGGUUGUUGGUGAGGUAAUGGCUCACCAAGCCUUUAACCGGUGCGGGCCGUGGGAGCGGGAGCCCGGAGAUGGGCACUGAGACAAGGGCCCAGGCCCUACGGGGCGCAGCAGUCGCGCAAACUUUGCAAUACACGAAAGUGUGACGGGGCUACCCCGAGUGCUGUCCGCUGAGGAUGGCUUUUCCCUGGUUUAAGGAGCCGGGGGAAUAAGGAGAGGGCAAGUUCUGGUGUCAGCCGCCGCGGUAAUACCAGCUCUCCGAGUGGUGGGGAUGUUUAUUGGGCCUAAAGCGUCCGUAGCUGGCCUUUCAAGUCUCUCGUUAAAUCCAGCGAUUCAAUCGUUGGACUGCGGGAGAUACUGUUUGGCUAGGGGGCGGGAGAAGCCGACGGUAUUUUCGGGGUAGGGGUAAAAUCCUAUAAUCCCGAGAAGACCACCAGUGGCGAAGGCGGUCGGCUAGCGCGCGCUCGACGGUGAGGGACGAAAGCUGGGGGAGCGAACCGGAUUAGAUACCCGGGUAGUCCCAGCUGUAAACGAUGCAGGCUAGGUGUUAGGGCGGCCACGUGCCGCUCUAGUGCCGCAGGGAAGUUGUUAAGCCUGCCGCUUGGGGAGUACGUCCGCAAGGAUGAAACUUAAAGGAAUUGGCGGGGGAGCACAGCAACGGGUGGAGCCUGCGGUUCAAUUGGAUUCAACGCCGGA
RNAcentral lists this ribosomal RNA (914 nucleotides) under uncultured archaeon. Its description in RNAcentral is "bacterial SSU rRNA". It matches the Rfam family "Archaeal small subunit ribosomal RNA", at positions 1 to 922 of the family's 1478-position model. The record is from RNAcentral.